GGGAGGAUCUGGACAGUACACCACAGCAUGUACUCUACCUACAGAACUUAUAGAAAGUUUACAUUCUUCCAAGCCUUAGAAUAAUUGGAACCAGACACUUGGAUGCCAACAGGGCUCUCUCUCAUCUUUAUUGUUUUUGAUGCAUCUCUUUCACUCUGGACUGUUUUCUCUUUCUUAUUGCACAUAGUCAAAGAUUGCUUCCAGCAGCCCCCAAUUUCAACAUUACAGCUUCAUCCUCAGAGGGCUUGCAAACUAAAAGGAGGCCAUACGCCCAGGCGGAACGAUACGGCAGCGCCGCGGUGCCUCGGUUGGCCUCGGAUGGCCUCGGAUAGCCGGUCCCCCGCCGUGCGUCGGGACCGGGGUCCGGUGCGGAGAGCCCCUCGUCCCGGGAAACGGGGCGCGGCCGGAAAGGGGGCCGCCCCCUCGCCCGUCACGCAACGCACGUUCGUGGGGAACCUGGUGCUAAACCAUUCGUAGACGACCUGCUUCUGGGUCGGGGUUUCGUACGUAGCAGAGCAGCUCCCUCGCUGCGAUCUAUUGAAAGUCAGCCCUCGACACAAGGGUUUGUAAAAAUAAUAAUAAUAAAAAAAUAAUAAUAAAAAUAAAAAUAAAAGGAGGCCAUAAAGAAGAACUGGCAUUAAAUAUUUCCAGUUAAAUGAAACUCUAACUCCAGUUUUAGGAGAGGGAAAAGAAGGUGGCGUUUUAAGGCUCCAGGUGUGUGUGUGUGGGGGGGGGGGUCUGAGAGUGUGGAAAGGACUGUGAAAUGUGGAUGCUGUCAAGCCUGACUUUCUCCCUCUGAGAGAUGCCUGGAGCUGACCCUGACUACUGUAAGAGAGGCAAACACCAGUUCUUCCCUGAAGGAGAUUGUACUGUUUAAAAAAAAAGGGGGGGGGGGCUGGAGAAAUGAAUUAACUGUUUUAUUCCAUUAAGUAAUGGGAUAAAAAUGCAUGUUGAAUGGUAGAAAGCCUAAUGUUUCCCAUCAUAGUUGGGGAGGGGGGAAAAAAGGCUUUUAGGGUUAAAAGGAGACUUUGCUUCAGUUUGCAGGGACAAACUAAAUGCACUAAUGCGCUGGGGAUGGAAGAGGUGGGGGGCAACGGGCAUGGCCACGCUGAGUGAGGACCGGAUAGGAGAGCAGUUUCACAUUCUGGAUGUUUUCUCCUUUUUGUUAGGACUCGAGCUCUACUUCACCCCGUCUGUCUCUAGAGGUUAUCUUUCUCCACUUCGCAUUGUUCUUCAGAAGAAACACAGGAAACACAGGAAGACAUACCCUAAGACAGCUGGUUUCCCUUCACAGCUCCAGAGCUACUAGGUGUUUAUAGCGUUUUUAAAGCUUAGGAAUCAGACUGAGUAACCCAGAAAAUAAGGAGCAUUAAUGAAGUCACUCAUGGAUACAAUAAACACUGAACAGGGAGUUAUUUACUCUACCUCAGAUUAAAAAUUUGAAAUCAUACUUGUCAGGAAAAUAAAUUUCAUCCUGACACUCAUCUGCUCCAGAACCUUUCCUCUUUUGACUGCUUGUAAUUCCCGGGUGAGCAAUGUCUGGGCUUUGUGGUGGCCAUUUUCCUUCUUCCUCUUCUUUCUACCGCUUAGCCAGCUGCCUCCCACCAGUCACCAUCAUCCAGAGAGAUUUCUGGGCAGGCUAGCCCUCUCCCAGCAUUUUAAAAAUUUAACUCCCCUCCGAUUAUAUGAUGUUUCUUUCAUUUGGUCUGCCCAAAACAUAUAUGAAAAAUUUCUCUCAGAGCACUUUGCAAAAUAUUGAGUUCAUAAGAGGUGCUUUGGAUAUACACGUGUUUUGCCUUAUUAAUUGGACUCUGUCUCUUUGGAUAUCUGACCUCCUGGCACAUUAUCAUCAUCAAUAAAUGAAGACAGGUAUAAUUCCUAAACUGGAGUAAAAUUGGAACAUCAACUCUAAACUCAAUUUUUUAAAUAGCAAAAUAUUUGUUUAUGGUAUUAGACUAACUUUUAUAAUAUAGGGUCCUCAACGAGCAAACUAAUACUAAAGUAAAUGAAUAUGUUAAUGGUAAAAAUUUAUCUGUGGCUAGACCUUUUUAUAGAGAAUGGUGGCGUGCUCUAGUUAACCAAGCUUUGGAGCUCGGAGGUGGAAAUCCUGGACUCUGAGAUCCCCCUGACCCCUCAAGGUUGCUGUGAGGUUCAAAGGAGAAAAUGUGGGCACCUGGGUGGCUCAG
Molecule: long non-coding RNA, 2186 nt
Organism: Zalophus californianus (California sea lion)
Lineage: Eukaryota; Metazoa; Chordata; Mammalia; Carnivora; Otariidae
Source: Ensembl